AGCGCGGGUGCGAGUCGGAGGGUGCAAGCCCGUGGGCGAAGUGAAAGCGAGUUUAAAAACGAGCAGUUUGGGGCGGCAUAAGAUCGUUGAUCUUAAGACCGACCCAGAGCAGUUGCGCUGGGACCCGAAAGAUGGUGAACUAUGCCGGAGUAGGGCAAAGCCAGAGGAAACUCUGGUGGAGGCUCGUAGCGGUGCUGACGUGCAAAUCGCUCGUCGAACUUGGGUAUAGGGGCGAAAGACUAAUCGAACCAUCUAGUAGCUGGUUCCCUCCGAAGUUUCUCUCAGGAUAGCGGGCCGACAAGUUGUUUUGUGCGGUAAAGCGAAUGAUUAGCGCAAUCGGGGGCGUUUAGCCUUCGGGCGAUUCUCAAACUUUCAAUGCGCAAGGGUGCCGCUGCUUAAUUGAGCGGUACCGGUAAAAACGUCGGCCCUGUGGGCCACUUUUGGUAAGCAGAACUGGCGAUACGGGAUGAACCGUAAGCAAGGUUAAGGCGCCAAACUGCCCGCUUAUAGAUCCCACAAAAGGUGUUGAUUCAUCGAGACAGCAGGACGGUGGCCAUGGAAGUCGGAAUCCGCCAAGGAGUGUGUAACAACUCACCUGCCGAAUGAAUUAGCCCUGAAAAUGGAUGGCGCUUAAGCGGGCGGCCGACACCUUGCCGUCUGAACAAGAAUUUCAGAUGAGUAGGAGGGCGUGGCGGCCGUGUCGAAGCGCGCGUGCAGACGCGUGUGGAACGGCCGCUAGUGCAGAUCUUGGUGGUAGUAGCAAGUAUUCAAGCGAGAUCCUUGAAGGGCGAAGUGGGGAAGGGUUUCACGCGAACAUUGAUUGGGCGUGAGUGAGUCGUUCCUAAGCCGAGUGGCAAUUGCUAAUUAACGGCGAAAGGGAAGCGGGUUGACAUUCCCGCACACGGAUGUGGAGGCGGCGACGCAUUAUUGGGGCGAACACGCUGGCGAUGGCGCUGGGCAGAGUUGUCUUUUCUGUUUGACCGCUUGCGCACGCAGUGUGGAAUCCGCUUGUAGGGAGAAACACGCGUGUUCGGGCAGAGCGCUGGGUCUUUUCCAGCGUCCAGCUCGCCAUCGACGGCCCUUGAAACUUUGCCUGCUG
This 1099-nucleotide ribosomal RNA is filed under the name Besa paradoxa. RNAcentral's name for it is "eukaryotic LSU rRNA". It matches the Rfam family "Eukaryotic large subunit ribosomal RNA", at positions 677 to 1828 of the family's 3401-position model. The record is from RNAcentral. Lineage: Eukaryota; Rhodophyta; Florideophyceae; Gigartinales; Phyllophoraceae.